GCCUAGCCCUGAUGGAAAUGAAAAGCCUCUUGUGGCUCAACCGAAUAUUUUACUUGUGCUAGCAGAGCGACUAAAAGAAGCUCCUGCUAGUGCUUUAGUAAAAUACGGUUGAGUCAUAAGAGCUUGUAAUGUAGAGCAGGAUUUUGC
This 147-nucleotide small RNA is filed under the name Flavobacterium sp. 9R. RNAcentral describes it as "Flavo-1". It matches the Rfam family "Flavo-1 RNA". The record is from RNAcentral. Lineage: Bacteria; Pseudomonadati; Bacteroidota; Flavobacteriia; Flavobacteriales; Flavobacteriaceae.